AACGAACGCUGGCGGCAUGCCUAACACAUGCAAGUCGAACGAAGCCUUCGGGCUUAGUGGCGCACGGGUGCGUAACACGUGGGAAUCUGCCCUUCGGUUCGGAAUAACAGUUAGAAAUGACUGCUAAUACCGGAUGAUGACGAAAGUCCAAAGAUUUAUCGCCGAAGGAUGAGCCCGCGUAGGAUUAGGUAGUUGGUAGGGUAAUGGCCUACCAAGCCGACGAUCCUUAGCUGGUCUGAGAGGAUGAUCAGCCACACUGGGACUGAGACACGGCCCAGACUCCUACGGGAGGCAGCAGUGGGGAAUAUUGGACAAUGGGCGAAAGCCUGAUCCAGCAAUGCCGCGUGAGUGAUGAAGGCCUUAGGGUUGUAAAGCUCUUUUACCAGGGAUGAUAAUGACAGUACCUGGAGAAUAAGCUCCGGCUAACUCCGUG
This 433-nucleotide ribosomal RNA is filed under the name uncultured bacterium. Its description in RNAcentral is "bacterial SSU rRNA". It matches the Rfam family "Bacterial small subunit ribosomal RNA", at positions 29 to 507 of the family's 1533-position model. The record is from RNAcentral. RNAcentral also lists the same sequence under 1 other name.